AACGAACGCUGGCGGCAUGCCUAACACAUGCAAGUCGAACGAGACCUUCGGGUCUAGUGGCGCACGGGUGCGUAACGCGUGGGAACCUGCCCUUAGGUUCGGAAUAACUCCCCGAAAGGGGUGCUAAUACCGGAUAAUGUCUUCGGACCAAAGAUUUAUCGCCUUUGGAUGGGCCCGCGUUGGAUUAGCUAGUUGGUAGGGUAAAAGCCUACCAAGGCGACGAUCCAUAGCUGGUCUGAGAGGAUGAUCAGCCACACUGGGACUGAGACACGGCCCAGACUCCUAGGGGAGGAAGGGGGGGGAAAUAGUGAACAGGGGGAGAGGGCGUAAACAAGAAGGGCGGGGGGAGAGAGGAGGACGUGAGGUUUGAAAAGUUUUUUCCCCCGGGAAGAAAAGGAAAGUACGGGGAAAAUAAGCCCCGGCAAACUCCGUG
RNAcentral lists this ribosomal RNA (433 nucleotides) under uncultured bacterium. Its description in RNAcentral is "partial 16S ribosomal RNA". It matches the Rfam family "Bacterial small subunit ribosomal RNA", at positions 29 to 507 of the family's 1533-position model. The record is from RNAcentral.